Long non-coding RNA from Myiozetetes cayanensis, 302 nucleotides. RefSeq lists it as uncharacterized. The transcript has 4 exons. Lineage: Eukaryota; Metazoa; Chordata; Aves; Passeriformes; Tyrannidae. The record is from RefSeq and is a predicted model, not a curated record.
GGGAUUCCCAGGAACGCGACGAGGAUUGGCGGGAAAAGGCCGAGGCCGAGCUGAGGCGGCACCGCCCCGGGGCCGUCCUGGGGGCGCUGGAGCUGCUGGCCAAUCACAGCACCAGGUUGCUGAUGUCAAGCCCCGCCCCCUCAGCUGAGGCCCCACCCACCGUGACCCAGCUCAUCCAGGACUGUUGGGGGGCCGUGGGGGGGAUUUGGGGGUCGUUGCCCCCCCUCAUUUCCCACCUCCAGCACCUCCAGAGGAGCCUCAACGGGGUCCUCCCCAAACUGGGGGGGGAACCCAAAAUCAGG